Molecule: unclassified non-coding RNA, 316 nt
Filed under: Hevea brasiliensis (rubber tree)
Lineage: Eukaryota; Viridiplantae; Streptophyta; Magnoliopsida; Malpighiales; Euphorbiaceae
Source: RNAcentral
UAACUUGAAAAUCAAGUCUAAAUUUAAAAAUCUAUCCAAACUCAAAAAAUGAAUUGGCUCAAACCGAAACUAACUGAAAUAGAGUAGUUCGGUUCGGUUCAAUUUUUUAUUCAUUUUAGUUCGAUUUUUAAAAUAUAAUAAUUCGAUUAAUUCGGUUUUGAUGAUUUGGUUCGAUUUGGUUUCGUUUGAACCGAAUACUCAGCCCUAGCGAUAAUUCCUUGCUUCUUGUGAAAUGCUAAAUAUUUCUGAAGUACUGAGCAUAGAAAUGUGUUUUGAUUUUUCACUAACAAUACAGCAACCACUGGCGAGGCAGCAA